AUUGAACGCUGGCGGCAUGCCUUACACAUGCAAGUCGAACGGCAGCACGGGGGCAACCCUGGUGGCGAGUGGCGAACGGGUGAGUAACAUAUCGGAACAUACCCUAGAUGGGGGAUAACGUAGCGAAAGUUACGCUAAUACCGCAUACGAUCUAAGGAUGAAAGUGGGGGAUCUUCGGACCUCAUGCUCAUGGAGUGGCCGAUAUCUGAUUAGCUAGUUGGUGAGGUAAAGGCUCACCAAGGCGACGAUCAGUAGCUGGUUUGAGAGAACGACCAGCCACACUGGAACUGAGACACGGUCCAGACUCCUACGGAGGGCAGCAGUGGGGAAG
This 331-nucleotide ribosomal RNA is filed under the name uncultured bacterium. RNAcentral's name for it is "bacterial SSU rRNA". It matches the Rfam family "Bacterial small subunit ribosomal RNA", at positions 30 to 362 of the family's 1533-position model. The record is from RNAcentral.